UUCCUCCUGUAGUUCUUAAUUUUUUAAGGCUAUUGGAGGGGGGAUUUGAUGAGCUUUUUGGUUCAGCGCGUAGGUGGAGAAACAACGGAGUGGUUGUUUUGAUUUCCCCCUUCAUAUUCCCGGCAUUUUCAACGCCCCCUCGGGGCACCUUCUUGUUAAGUGAUGUUGAUUUUGCCGUAACAAAACGGAGGGGCACACAAAAAUAAUGGACGCCCUUAUAAGCGUAAAAAAAAAAAAGGGUAUGAUGG
Non-coding RNA from Plasmodium knowlesi strain H, 248 nucleotides. The record is from RefSeq and is a predicted model, not a curated record. Lineage: Eukaryota; Apicomplexa; Aconoidasida; Haemosporida; Plasmodiidae.